CUCUCUCCUCUCCUUCCUCUCGUCUCUGUUAUUUGUGCUCUUAUCACGCUCAUCUUUAAGAGUGCGGCGUUAUCUUUUUCUGUCCAUCUUAUCGCUUUUUGUGGCUUAAUGAUAAAAUGUUCGCCCUGAAGGGACGGAAAAUUACAAGCUAAAAACUUGAGAUUGGUUACAGCCAAGCAGUGUAAUUGGAUGUGCCGAGCAAGCUCUACCUGUUGAGGAGAGGUCAUGACCCCCAGCGUCAUCCAAUCACGGAGGAGCUGGACUCAAAGAUGAACUGAUGCGGUAUCCAAUCAAGGAGCAGCUGGACUCAGAGGGGGUGAUGGGAUUGGUCACCCCCAGGGAACCAGCCCAAAGAGUGUCUGGGCCAGACUCACCCCUGCUCUGGCCCUGAUGCGACAGCUGACAAUCAUGCCUCAGUGAGAGGCGCACACACACACACACACACACACACACACACACACACAGCAGCUGAACUGAGACCAGUCUGAUUUCCUGAGUGUGAGAAGAACUCUCUCACGUGUGUGUGUUUGUGCAUUUAUCAUUACGUAGUAUGCAGUGGUGGGCAAGACAGUCAGAAUGGGUGGAGGAUUAAAGGUGUAGAGAAUGGGUGGAGGUUUAAAGGUGGAGUUCACAAGUUCUGUAAAUAUCAGCGCUGUUGAAUGAUGAUUUAGAGGCGUUGUCGGGGGAUACCUUCAGAAACGCAGCUUGUGGUCCUGAUCAUUCUAUUCCAAUUCCAUUUCUUUAUUUAGAGUUCUUUCUCUGUGGCCUGUGUAAUUUCCUCAUUACUGAGAGUCUCUCCAUCCCUCACUCCAUCUACUGUCUCUCUCUCUCUCUCUCUCUCUCUCUCUCUCUCUCUCUUUCUUUUUCUCUUUCUCUCUCUCUCUCUUUCUCUCUCUCUCCACCCCCGCUCUCUCUCUUUCUUGGCAGCUUCUUCUCCCACAUGUCAACAUCUUGUUGACAGUUUUAAGCCAUGUGCUUUGGCAGAGGGGAUUUUGCUAAUGACAAGUGAGUUUGAUUGGGAUUUAAUUAACCAUUGUAGCCAUUUAAUGAGAAACCGUGUAUGAAAUGAGUUCCAAUUUGCUUCUCGAGUGGUGGAGAUGCCUUUGACCUUCUUCACAUUCCAGCAGGAAAUUGGGAUUUUGAAGCAUGUCCUCACAAUCCAGGGGUUAAUGAACAGCAAAACCCCUCAUUCACUUGUUCAGAGUGAGCUGGAAAUGUACUGCUUUUUGUGUGUGUGUGUGUGUGUGUGUGUGUGUGUUUUUUCUUUCCCCAAGCACCAGUUCAUAAAAUGAACUACAAUGAUAAAACAAAAACAUUUAUACUUAAAUAGUACAGCUUGAAUGACUACAUGCAAUAAAGCACCACAAAAGAAGAAAAAAAAGUGAAUUUCCCAAGUGUAAAUAUGAACAAUAUCAGAGCAGCCUUUUAUGAUGUUAUGUUUUGUGAGGUUUUGUUGAAUUUUACACAAAACGUACACAGUCCUGAAAUAUAUUUUCCCCUUAGUGUAGUUCUUAUUUAGUUAAUCUCACUUUAAAAACGUUUUGUUUUUGUAGUCUCCAUUCAUGUGUGUUUGAGCAUUCAGAGCCUUUGUCCUACUGUAUGCAGUACUGAAGCGAAGUGAUGUGUGAAAACCGAAGCCAUUUAAAACUCAAAAGUGCUCAUGAGCUUUUGUUUUAUUUUCCAAAUGUUCAAGAAUUUAUGGAGUUGCUAUCGCUGAUCCUUGUGUGUUUUCACCUCUGAUGAUGAGAGCAGAAUAUGAGUCAAACUUUGUCAGCAGUUUACCCAAAUGAUAAAGUUGUUAUUCUAACAGCUCCUGCUCAGCGGGAGAAUUGCAUCAUUUUGCAUUUCAUAUGAAAACUAUUUUUAAACAGAAAGGGUUUCACAGGCUCACAUGGGCGCCCUUCUCAAACUGAUGUUUUUAAGAGCUGUAAGAAAUGUUUCUCUAUAAUGUGAUUGGGUAUCAUGUGCUUAAAAUGCUGUUGAAUUGUAUUUUAAUAUGUAGAUUGUAUUUUUUCAUAUGGUUGUCUGUUCUAAUCUUAAUAAAAAUAAAUAAUGAAUGCUA
Molecule: long non-coding RNA, 2062 nt
Organism: Sardina pilchardus (European sardine)
Lineage: Eukaryota; Metazoa; Chordata; Actinopteri; Clupeiformes; Clupeidae
Exons: 2
Source: RefSeq, a predicted model, not a curated record